RNAcentral lists this non-coding RNA (25 nucleotides) under Cricetulus griseus (Chinese hamster). Lineage: Eukaryota; Metazoa; Chordata; Mammalia; Rodentia; Cricetidae. The record is from RNAcentral.
AAAAAGCCUAGAAAAGAACCUGUAG